CCCGGCAUAUGCAAAUCUUUUAGGCAUUAUUUUUCCCUUCAUAGGCGUGAUGUGAGCAGGCCCUGGCUUGGCAGGCAUGUUGGGACGAGGCUCUGGAAUGAUGCUGUAUUCCUCCUCGACGACGACCCACAGUAAAUGCAGAGCCACUCAUCUGCAAAGCAAAGUCAAUGUAUUGUUCUAGACACCAGUGUGGGGUAUGUGGUGGCAUUAACUGAGACAUUUCCUUUGUGAGGCCAAACGGAAAAUGUUCUUGAGAGCAGUAUCACUGAAGUCCACUUGAUUACAUGAAAACCAUAAAAUCAAUCAUAAUCACUGUAAUAAUUAUAUAUAUUGCAUGUUAUAUAUUUAUAAGAAACACGCAAGAUGUCACAUAGCUAUCUUUUAGUUAAACACACUUGAUCUCUGACCGCCUGAAGAUAUGAGAGAUACUAUAAAUCGUUUACAGGAACUUGUUGAGGCCACUCCUUAAACACGUCAGUGCUCUGUUUAAAAGCGAGAGUCGAGGAUCAACAAAGGUCAGAAAACGGUAUGAAACCUACAAUGAACCCGCCAGACACCAAAUGUGUCUUGGUAAGUGUUACAACUGUUUAUGUUUUUACCUUUUUCUUUUAAAUUUUAAAAAAUUUAAUUGUCAACUACAAUUUUGUAUAAAUAUAUUUAUUCAGAAAGUAUAAAAUAGGAAGUUUUAGACAGUCUUUAGUUGUUGGAUUAAUAAAAAAAUUAUUAAAACAAUACAAUACAAUUAUUAACCAGUAACAAGCAUUUAAAUACAAUAUUUUCACUCUGGAAUGACUGAAAAGGAUUUCGUUCCUGUUUUUGGUUUCCGAAACGUUUUUGUUGUUGUUGUUGUCAUUUCUUGUACUGUUCCUAAUCUCUGAUUUAGAUACAUUUAAUUUAAGACUUACACUGAAAAAUAAAUGUACUCUCGUUAAAGCUCCGGACAAUAUUUGUGGCUGCAUGUGUAGUAACAUGCCCAGAGGACCAUUUCCAACUGCAAGAAUUGCUGUGCUGCUUGAACUGCCCAGAAGGUAUGUAUGUUGCCCGGAAUUGCUCUGGAGGACCCACAAACUACAUUGGUGUGCUAUGUAAUCCAUGCCGCAGAUGUGAAGAACUUGGAGAGAUAACUGUUUCCCAGUGCAUGCAGUUUUCAGACACACAGUGUGACAGGAAAUUGCGACGGAUAACCUUGUAUGGUUCCUCGUCUGUGAUAGCCGCUAUUUUCAUCCUGACUGUGAUUGUGGCAGCCUGCUUCUUUUGCAGAAUCCGUAAAUCAGGUGAAUCUAAUGAAAGCUCCGCAGGAGAACCAUUCCACAUUUCCAUAUAAAAGAUACAGAGACAGUCUGAAGAAAAUCUUAAACAGAGGAAAAUGUCCAGCUUUAAGAACUGUAUAUUAUCAUUCAGUGAUUCAAUAACAUUAGAAAUACUGCAAUAAACAGUUCUAAAAAGAGGACAAUAGUAAACAGUAGUAAACAAUAGUACACUAUUUAAUGUGUCUUUUGCCUUUUCAGUUUGUAAGGUAGUUGUUAAGUUUAUGUAUAAGGUAAAAUUAAGGGAUCUAAAAUGUGGACAUGGAGAGUAAGGUAAUAAUAUGUGCUUUAAGUACUAAUAAACAACAGAUAUGCAUACUAUGUAUGCUAGUAAACAACUAUUCAAUAGUGAGAAUUUGUCCUUGAUAUAUAUGUUUGUGUGUGUAGGUGUGUGCACAUCUGUUUAUAUUGAUGUUAUAUUUAGAAAUGUAUCUAUAUUCAAACAUACCUGAUGUUGCAUGAUGCUGCAUAUUGCAUAUUUUUAUUUUAUAUAAUUUGUUUUUUUUUUUAUAAAAAAAGGAAAGAAAAUAACUAUUUGGAAUUUCUAAAUUCUUAUAGUAUCUAUAGUAUCUAUAGUAUUUUUUUUAAUCAGAUAUUUGUACUUUGAAAAAUUUAUUUUAUGUUCUGCUAGCAGAAAAACAAACACAGAUACCUACAUAGCACUCUAAAUGCAAAUUUAAUUUGCACUAAUUUUAUGUUGGGAAUUGCACCUUGUAUUAAUUAUGUUGUCACAAAAUUGAUAAUGUUUCACCAGACUGUCUUAUGUUUGAUUUGAAAUUUUAACACAAGUGACUAUGAAUCUACAAUGAUUUAGACCAACAUCUUAUACAACAAUACAAAAGGAACUCUACUUGUGAGCAUUUGUUGUGAUGAAGCAUC
Molecule: long non-coding RNA, 2186 nt
Organism: Cyprinus carpio carpio
Lineage: Eukaryota; Metazoa; Chordata; Actinopteri; Cypriniformes; Cyprinidae
Source: Ensembl